GGGGAUGUAAAGGUUUCGACGGGGAUUUCAAACCUUGGUAAGCGAGCGGCGGUGCGGAACCGCCAUAAAAUCCGCAACUUUAAAAUUAACUGACAACAAAACAGUUGCUUUAGCAGCCUGAGUGCUGCUCGUUCCUGUACAGAGUACCUCGGCUGUGUAAGGGGCGUCGAUUAGAGGUAAAUGUGAACAGGGGAGCGCUCCGAACCCUGUCACAGCUUAGGAGCUGCCAAAGUGCAUAGCCUGUUGAUGGGCGAUGCACCGAGGGAGAUUUAAAACACCAACUGCGCUCGGAGAAACCCUUGGCAAGAUUUUUUCGGACAGGGGUUCGACUCCCCUCAUCUCCACCA
This 347-nucleotide transfer-messenger RNA is filed under the name Ruminococcus sp. It matches the Rfam family "transfer-messenger RNA". From Rfam's summary of the family: Bacterial tmRNA, also known as 10Sa RNA or SsrA, is named for its dual tRNA and mRNA-like properties. Its role is to liberate the mRNA from a stalled ribosome. Lineage: Bacteria; Bacillati; Bacillota; Clostridia; Eubacteriales; Oscillospiraceae. The record is from RNAcentral. RNAcentral also lists the same sequence under 2 other names.